UCCCUGGUGGCUCAGAUGGUAAAGAAUCUGCCUGCAAAGCAGGAGACCUGGGUUCGAUCCCUGGGUUGGGAG
Molecule: transfer RNA, 72 nt
Filed under: Bos taurus (domestic cattle)
Lineage: Eukaryota; Metazoa; Chordata; Mammalia; Artiodactyla; Bovidae
Also listed under: 4 other names
Rfam family: tRNA
About the family: Transfer RNA (tRNA) molecules are approximately 80 nucleotides in length. Their secondary structure includes four short double-helical elements and three loops (D, anti-codon, and T loops). Further hydrogen bonds mediate the characteristic L-shaped molecular structure. tRNAs have two regions of fundamental functional importance: the anti-codon, which is responsible for specific mRNA codon recognition, and the 3' end, to which the tRNAs corresponding amino acid is attached (by aminoacyl-tRNA synthetases). tRNAs cope with the degeneracy of the genetic code in two manners: having more than one tRNA (with a specific anti-codon) for a particular amino acid; and 'wobble' base-pairing, i.e. permitting non-standard base-pairing at the 3rd anti-codon position.
Source: Rfam by way of RNAcentral